GUGUCCCUACGGGGGGCAGCAGUCGGGAAUAUUGCGCAAUGGAGGAAACUCUGACGCAGUGACGCCGCGUAUAGGAAGAAGGUUUUCGGAUUGUAAACUAUUGUCGUUAGGGAAGAUAAAAGACUGUACCUAAGGAGGAAGCCCCGGCUAACUAUGUGCCAGCAGCCGCGGUAAUACAUAGGGGGCAAGCGUUAUCCGGAAUUAUUGGGUGUAAAGGGAGCGCAGGCGGCCUGCCAAGUCUGGUGUGAAAACCCGGGGCCCAACCCCGGGCCUGCAUUGGAAACUGGCGGGCUGGUGU
This 298-nucleotide ribosomal RNA is filed under the name uncultured bacterium. RNAcentral's name for it is "partial 16S ribosomal RNA". It matches the Rfam family "Bacterial small subunit ribosomal RNA", at positions 333 to 647 of the family's 1533-position model. The record is from RNAcentral.